Molecule: ribosomal RNA, 446 nt
Filed under: uncultured bacterium
Lineage: Bacteria
Description: bacterial SSU rRNA
Rfam family: Bacterial small subunit ribosomal RNA
Source: RNAcentral
CUCCAGACUCCUACGGGAGGCAGCAGUGGGGAAUAUUGCACAAUGGGGGAAACCCUGAUGCAGCGACGCCGCGUGAGCGAUGAAGUAUUUCGGUAUGUAAAGCUCUAUCAGCAGGGAAGAAGAUGACGGUACCUGACUAAGAAGCCCUGGCUAACUACGUGCCAGCAGCCGCGGUAAUACGUAGGGGGCAAGCGUUAUCCGGAUUUACUGGGUGUAAAGGGAGCGUAGACGGCGAUGCAAGCCAGAUGUGAAAGCCCGGGGCUCAACCCCGGGACUGCAUUUGGAACUGUGUGGCUGGAGUGUCGGAGAGGCAGGCGGAAUUCCUAGUGUAGCGGUGAAAUGCGUAGAUAUUAGGAGGAACACCAGUGGCGAAGGCGGCCUGCUGGACGAUGACUGACGUUGAGGCUCGAAAGCGUGGGGAGCAAACAGGAUUAGAUACCCGUGUA